This 2951-nucleotide long non-coding RNA is filed under the name Canis lupus familiaris (dog). RNAcentral's name for it is "lncRNA (ENSCAFG00845019879.1)". The record is from RNAcentral. Lineage: Eukaryota; Metazoa; Chordata; Mammalia; Carnivora; Canidae.
AUGUGAUGUUAAACAACUGCCUCUGAUAGUUUCACAAACAUACUGGGGAUUAAACUGUUUGUAAAGAGCAAGUUCUAAGUUAGGUUAAAAAAAAAAAAAAAAGCUGUGUGAGUGCAGGUUUCCAGAAAACUACCAAAUACGUCAAAUAAUGACAAUUCCCCGGGGAUAAGUCUUAGUGAGUUAUGAACCCAUUAUGCCCACUUCAGUGGCUGCAAGGCUGCUGGUUUUCACAGUGACUGUGAUUUGUGUCAGAUGGUUUUUAAGGUUACUUACUGUGGAGCUGGGUGGGGGAGAUGGAAAUAGGGCUACUUAAGCUACUACAAAUCUCCUUCUCUCUGAAAUUCACCCAUUUGUCUUGAAAAACACUAUGGCUAUUUUUAAUCUUGGAUUAAUAUUCAGAAUUCUGAAAAUUGGGAAUCUGAUAUUAUUUGCCAGUGUUGUAACUGCUUUUAGAGGAGGAGUGGGUUUUUGCUUACUUCACCAUUCCCACUUCCUAGGAUCCUAGCUUUGAAAGCACCAGUUUAUAAGCAUGGGAACAUUGGUUACAUGUGGGUUAAACAUUUUAAAUGUAACCCUUAAGUAUACGUACAUGCAGAGGUUUAUAUUCGAUUUAAUUCAAAAUCACAAUGUAUUAAAAAAAAAAUCACAAUGUAUUUAAGUCAAAAUUAUCAUUUCUUUGUUACCCAUAGUAUUUUUAUGAUUAAAAAUUCUCCAAGAAUCCUAAUAUUUUCUUCUAUUUAUAACUUGCUUUUUGCAUUUAACUAUGGUACAUCUGAAAAGUGACUGGCGUCAUUACUUACAUAUAUAUAUAUAUAUAUAUAAUGUAUUUGUGUGAAAGAAUAAAACAAAACAUCUAUCAACAUUUAAUGUAUUCUUAAUUUCCCUAUAAUUUUGUAAUGCCCUCUUUAUUUUAUAAUUAUUAAUCUCUCUUCUGAGUUAUCUAUUUGAUUAUUCAACAAUGUCAUGUUUCAAUUUCCCCACUUUAUCACCUUUGACUUAAAGUUUAUCUUUAAUGCGUGAUCAUCAAAAGAUUGAAUUAACUUGGAUGAAAUUAGGAAGCAGUAAAUGAAACCUGCAAAACACUCUUCAAACUUAAUAUAGAUCUCAAAGCUUUGAUUUUUAGGUAUCUAUAUUUAAUCACUUAAAAGUUAACAAAUGUUCCUGGGAAAUGUGAUUUGGCAUCAUGGACAAGACAAAAAAGUGUUACGUUGUGAAAUAAUGAGAUGCUGUAACUUACUGGGAAGCUAAGGCUUCAGAACCUGGCAUGAGAUGAAUGCCAGCUACAUCACCUAUCUCUUCAGAUAUUGGGUGAACUCCUUUCCCUAAGUGUUGCUUCCAGUUUUAAGGAGGAAUAAAAGACUUGCUACAGGAAAUUCCUGUAAGAAUGAAGUGAGAUACAUGGCCCAAUACAUGAGCAUCCUAAACAUUAAUCACCAUUAAAUUCUCCCCGUGAGGCCCAUCUGACAAAGACGGAAAGAGCCAACUGCAACAACAGCUGCUAAUCAAAUAAAGUGAAAAAAGAGAUGAAGCAAGAGAGACUACAAUUAGUUCAGGAGUGAUUCUAGGAAAGUAUCUUUCUUGCCUUUUCUUCCUAUCAUUCUAUAUCCAGUUUACUGUAAGACAACACGUUAACAUUUUUCCCUCCAAAGUAAUAUUAUCCUUACAUUUAUGAAGUUAUAAAGACUAGAUCCAUGUAUUUCUGGUUUAAAACAUAACUUGGUGGCAAAAUGGCUAAAUGGGAAUAACAAAUUUUGAAAAAAAAUUUCAAAAUAAAAUUCCAAACUUAAGGUCUGUCAAUUCAGAAUUGGGUAAAAGACAGUCUGUGUUACUUAAACAUAACUCUGAAUUAUAAAAUAAUGUUUCCUUUCUUCAGUUGUAGGAAGAGCAGUGAAGUGAUUGUUUUGUGAGGCUCUUGACAAACCAAAUUGAUGUGAAUCAUAAACAUCACUUGCUGUUAAUAGAGGUUUUUUUGGAUUCUGGCUAAAUUUUAACACUGCCUAUUUGUUUUGGUCAUUCCCAAAUAUUAUCAUAAAGUCCCUAGUGCCCUGCCCAGAGAUGUCUGCAUCUUCAUCCUUUGAACCUGUAAAAAUGCUACCUUAUGUUGAUAAAGGGACUGUGUAGACAUGAUUAGGGCUACAGACUUUGAGAUGAGGAGUUUCCUGGAUUAUCUAGGUGGGCCUAAUAUAAACACAUAAAUCCUUAAAAGCAGAGAAUUCUUCCCAGCUGAGUUCAAAGCAAGCAAUGUACCAAGAGGAGAGAACCUGACAGAGGGCAGUGUGAAAAGGACUCACCUGCUGCUGCCAGCUUUGAAGAUGGAGGAACAGAGAUGUCAAAAGUAAGGAAAGGCAAGGAGGCAACUUUUUACUGCAGCCUCCAGAUAAGAACAGCCCUACCCACGCUUUGAUCUUAGUGAAGUAAGACAGUAUCAGAUUUCUGACCUACAGAACUCUAAGAUAAUAAAUUUGCAUUGCUUUAGGCCAUUAAAUUUGUGGUAAUUUGUCACAGCAGCAAUAGAAAAUGAAUACAGAUUGAUCUUCCACUAGUCAUGUCCGAAGUUGGAAGUACACUGGUACCCGGUACUGUUCUACUGACUUCCAGCUCCAUAGCACUUCGGACCUCAAUGUCUCCACACUAGUCAUGUAUUUAUUUAAUAAAUAUUCCACAGAUCAGACAGGUUGCAGAUGCUAGAUCUUUGACAUACUUUUCCAUUUAUCCCAUUGCAUCCAAAAUAUCCUAAGUACAUACCCAGUUAUCAGUUAUUAAGAUAAAUGAAUGAAAAGGCAACAUCUGAUAGAAGUAUUUUAAAAACAGCAACUGUUUACAGGAUGCUUAUUAUGUUCCAAACACUUUCUAUUAGUAUUCCCUAUUUUCACAGUCAAUUGCAAGAUAGUUAUUAUUAUAAACAUCUUUGAGGUAUAACAAUUGUGGCUUUAACAAAUACAAUUUUCCCU